This 96-nucleotide signal recognition particle RNA is filed under the name Desulfobaculum bizertense. RNAcentral's name for it is "Paradesulfovibrio bizertensis signal recognition particle sRNA small type". It matches the Rfam family "Bacterial small signal recognition particle RNA". From Rfam's summary of the family: The signal recognition particle (SRP) is a universally conserved ribonucleoprotein involved in the co-translational targeting of proteins to membranes. Archaeal SRP consists of a 7S RNA and homologues of the eukaryotic SRP19 and SRP54 proteins. Lineage: Bacteria; Pseudomonadati; Thermodesulfobacteriota; Desulfovibrionia; Desulfovibrionales; Desulfovibrionaceae. The record is from RNAcentral. RNAcentral also lists the same sequence under 2 other names.
CGAGGGAAGCCGGGUGGCAAGGUCGCCGCCAACCCCGUCAGGCCUGAGAAGGAGCAGCGGUAACGGUUGGUCUUGGGUGCUCGGUUUCCCUAGAAG